AAAAGUAGCAAUACUUGGACAGCGGCGAAAGGGAGAGUAAUACAUAGGUACGUACCCUUGGGACUGGGAUAGCGGCGGGAAACUGCCGGUAAUACCAGAUGACGUUUCCGAACCAAAGGUGUGAAUCCGCCUGAGGAGCGGCCUAUGUCCUAUUAGCUUGUUGGUGGGGUAACGGCCUACCAAGGCAAAGAUGGGUAUGGGGUGUGAGAGCAUGCCCCCACUCACUGGGACUGAGACACUGCCCAGACACCUACGGGUGGCUGCAGUCGAGAAUCUUCGGCAAUGGACGCAAGUCUGACCGAGCGACGCCGCGUGCGGGAUGAAGGCCUUCGGGUUGUAAACCGCUGUCGUAGGGGAGGAAAUUCUGGUGGGUACUCCCAUCAGAUUGACUGAUCCUAGGAGGAAGGACCGGCUAAUCUCGUGCCAGCAGCCGCGGUAAUACGAGAGGUCCAAACGUUAUUCGGAAUUACUGGGCUUACAGAGUUCGUAGGCGGCUCUACAAGUGAGGUGUGAAAGCCCUCGGCUCAACCGAGGAACUGCGCUUCAAACUGUAGAACUAGAGGGAGAUAGAGGUGAGCAGAACUGAUGGUGGAGCGGUGAAAUGCGUUGAUAUCAUCAGGAAUACCGGAGGCGAAGGCGGCUCACUGGUCUCUUCUGACGCUGAGGAACGAAAGCUAGGGGAGCAAACGGGAUUAGAUACCCCGGUAGUCCUAGCCGUAAACGAUGAGCACUGGGCCGGAGCUCUGCACAGGGUUUCGGCCGUANCGAAAGUGUUAAGUGCUCCGCCUGGGGAGUAUGGUCGCAAGGCUG
Molecule: ribosomal RNA, 810 nt
Filed under: uncultured Planctomycetales bacterium
Lineage: Bacteria; Pseudomonadati; Planctomycetota; Planctomycetia; Planctomycetales
Description: bacterial SSU rRNA
Rfam family: Bacterial small subunit ribosomal RNA
Source: RNAcentral